This 467-nucleotide ribosomal RNA is filed under the name uncultured bacterium. Its description in RNAcentral is "partial 16S ribosomal RNA". It matches the Rfam family "Bacterial small subunit ribosomal RNA", at positions 28 to 508 of the family's 1533-position model. The record is from RNAcentral.
GAUGAACGCUGGCGGCGUGCUUAACACAUGCAAGUCGAACGAUGAAGCUCAGCUUGCUGGGUGGAUUAGUGGCGAACGGGUGAGUAACACGUGAGUAACCUGCCCUUAACUCUGGGAUAAGCCUGGGAAACUAGGUCUAAUACCGGAUAGGAGCGUCCACCGCAUGGUGGGUGUUGGAAAGAUUUAUCGGUUUUGGAUGGACUCGCGGCCUAUCAGCUUGUUGGUGAGGUAAUGGCUCACCAAGGCGACGACGGGUAGCCGGCCUGAGAGGGUGACCGGCCACACUGGGACUGAGACACGGCCCAGACUCCUACGGGGGGCAGCAGUGGGGAAUAUUGCACAAUGGGCGAAAGCCUGAUGCAGCGACGCCGCGUGAGGGAUGACGGCCUUCGGGUUGUAAACCUCGUUCAGUAGGGAAGAAGCGAAAGUGACGGUACCUGCAGAAGAAGCACCGGCUAACUACGUGC